This 23-nucleotide microRNA is filed under the name Ciona intestinalis (vase tunicate). RNAcentral describes it as "Cin-Mir-4030_3p* (star (passenger))". Lineage: Eukaryota; Metazoa; Chordata; Ascidiacea; Phlebobranchia; Cionidae. The record is from RNAcentral.
CGCUAUCAGAUGUGCUCUUACAC